This 492-nucleotide ribosomal RNA is filed under the name uncultured bacterium. RNAcentral's name for it is "partial 16S ribosomal RNA". It matches the Rfam family "Bacterial small subunit ribosomal RNA", at positions 29 to 507 of the family's 1533-position model. The record is from RNAcentral.
AGUGAACGCUGGCGGUAGGCCUAACACAUGCAAGUCGAACGGCAGCACAGUAAGAGCUUGCUCUUACGGGUGGCGAGUGGCGGACGGGUGAGGAAUACAUCGGAAUCUACUUUUUCGUGGGGGUUAACGUAGGGAAACUUACUCUAAUACCGCAUACCACCUACGGUUGAAAGCAGGGGAUCUUCGGACCUUGCGCGUUUGACUGAGCCGAUGUCGGAUUAGCUAGUUGGCGGGGUAAAGGCCCACCAAGGCGACGAUCCGUAGCUGGUCUGAGAGGAUGAUCAGCCACACUGGAACUGAGACACGGUCCAGACUCCUACGGGAGGCAGCAGUGGGGAAUAUUGGACAAAGGGCGCAAGCCUGAUCCAGCCAUACCGCGUGGGUGAAGAAGGCCUUCGGGUUGUAAAGCCCUUUUGUUGGGAAAGAAAAGCAGCAGGUUAAUACCCCGCUGUUCUGACGGUACCCAAAGAAUAAGCACCGGCUAACUUCGUG